GACGAACGCUGGCGGCGUGCCUAAUACAUGCAAGUAGAACGUUGAAGCUUGGUGCUUGCACCGAGCGGAUGAGUUGCGAACGGGUGAGUAACGCGUAGGUAACCUGCCUGGUAGCGGGGGAUAACUAUUGGAAACGAUAGCUAAUACCGCAUAAUAGUAGAUGUUGCAUGACAUUUGCUUAAAAGGUGCAAUUGCAUCACUACCAGAUGGACCUGCGUUGUAUUAGCUAGUUGGUGAGGUAACGGCUCACCAAGGCAACGAUACAUAGCCGACCUGAGAGGGUGAUCGGCCACACUGGGACUGAGACACGGCCCAGACUCCUACGGGAGGCAGCAGUAGGGAAUCUUCGGCAAUGGACGGAAGUCUGACCGAGCAACGCCGCGUGAGUGAAGAAGGUUUUCGGAUCGUAAAGCUCUGUUGUAAGAGAAGAACGAGUGUGAGAGUGGAAAGUCACACUGUGA
RNAcentral lists this ribosomal RNA (461 nucleotides) under Streptococcus sp. oral taxon C08. RNAcentral describes it as "bacterial SSU rRNA". It matches the Rfam family "Bacterial small subunit ribosomal RNA", at positions 28 to 472 of the family's 1533-position model. The record is from RNAcentral. Lineage: Bacteria; Bacillati; Bacillota; Bacilli; Lactobacillales; Streptococcaceae.